GCGGGUGUCGUAUAAUGGUUAUUACCUCAGCUUCCCAAGCUGAAGAUGACGGUUCGAUUCCGUUCACCCGCUCCA
RNAcentral lists this transfer RNA (75 nucleotides) under Gammaproteobacteria bacterium. Its description in RNAcentral is "tRNA-Gly". It matches the Rfam family "tRNA". Rfam says of the family: Transfer RNA (tRNA) molecules are approximately 80 nucleotides in length. Their secondary structure includes four short double-helical elements and three loops (D, anti-codon, and T loops). The record is from RNAcentral. Lineage: Bacteria; Pseudomonadati; Pseudomonadota; Gammaproteobacteria. RNAcentral also lists the same sequence under 3 other names.